This 11431-nucleotide long non-coding RNA is filed under the name Homo sapiens (human). RNAcentral describes it as "HSALNT0206783". Lineage: Eukaryota; Metazoa; Chordata; Mammalia; Primates; Hominidae. The record is from RNAcentral.
AGUGGAGACUUUUUAGAACACGGAAUGACUCCAACAAGGGUCAGACUCUAACAACCAAACAACAACAAUCAACAACUACUUCACAGUUCUCAGAGAUCAGCCCUGCCACGGGAAACGCACAGUAAAGCAAGAGCAGGGUUGACAUUCUCUGUGAAAUGGCAUCAGGCAUGACUCUGGAGCAAUCUUACAGAUGGAUAGCCUUGAUCUCCUUCCACCAGUUGGCUAAAGGAUUGAAUUUUUUACUAUCUGUAGGAGAUAGUCUAUGAUCUUGUUCCAAAUAUCUGAAUAAACUUUAAGAACCACAGUGCAAUCACUUGGACACGAUCCCAGAUCCAUCCGUCCAUUCAUCCAUCCACCCAUCCAUCCAUCAUUCACGAUUGACUCAAUAUCCUGCUGGGAGCUGGGAAAAAAGAGACAUGAAGUAUCCCUGCCUCUGAGCAGCUUUCAGUGCAGAUGGUAUGCCAGGGACAAUAUACAAGACAGAAUAGAGUUCAUUCAAGUAUUCUAUGUUUUGUUAUUUAGUUUUCAAAUAUGAACCCUGGAUGGAACCAGGCUUUGUUCCCCCAAGUUAUCAGCUAAAGAGAAAGAGCUCAGCCAAGUGACAAGGUGUUGCCGCAGUGAUAACUCAAUUUUGUGGUUUUCAGAAAUGCAGAAGAAAGAAGGUUGGAAAGAAUGGGCUGGCACUCCCCGAAGAGUGGGGCUCAAAGUUCUGGUCUCAGCAGAUCUUUGAGGGAGACGUAGGGUCUAGGCCGGCAAAACCAGAGAGAAGGAUAGGCUUUUAGAUGCUCAUCCCACCCAAAACCAUGAAAUAAUCUCCCCUGUCUCCUGAUUAGUAUUUGUCAGCCUCAUUUACCCUUAAGAUUUGUGCAAAUGAAAAACGUUAAAUGCAGUUCCUGGAUCAGUAAUUAAACAUAAUUAUUUCAGUGGAAGAGAUUUUUGUUUUCAUAAUCUCCUCUUUGUCUGCAUAGAGCCAGCUCUUGGUUACAUCUGCCACUGAUAGCCUUUGCUCUGUUUACUUUAAAGAAUAAGCCACUGUUUGAUUUGGUUUCUUGUUUUCAAUAUGUAAACCCUGGUCUCUUGAUUCCCCAUUCCAGGAAGGAAAAAAUAAAAGAACAAGGCUCUUUAAAUAUCAGAGCCAUGAUGACUUAACAGAUACACGCAGGCUCAAUAUUUUAUGUAACAGCCACUUAGGAAAAUGCGUAAGAAUUUCCCAGCUGGCAGCCCUGAUUUGGCAGGUGUACCUCAAUUGAACCAAUCGCUUUUCAUCUGGCUGUCAAUUUGUUUGGUUUUUCUGGCUACAUUGCACCAGAGUCUGUGUGUAUUCCAAAAGGUCGUUCACCUAUUCCACGGUUCAAAGGGAUCAUUCUGUUCACUUAAAGGGUCACUGUAAUCAUAUAUUGAAACAUAGCUAAGUACGAUGAGCUAGAAUUUUAGGAGGGGUAAAACUAAUAGGAAAAUCCAGGAGUAUAAACCACAAAACACACAUAAAAAAAGAGAUAAAAACAGAAAACAUAAUUCCUCAAUUAAAAAAAAAAAGGAACCAAAAAGAAAAAAAAUCUAUAACAAACCACACUGUAGGAGUCUCACUAUACACUAAAAUUAACAAUCACAGCUGGGGUAAAUACUUUAUUUAUUUUAUUCAUAUUCUGCACUGGCAGCAUAUUCUAGUUGCCUGUUUGAUUUCAUUAAUCCAAAGCAAAAGAGAAGUAGAGAUUUAUGUAAAUUUCAUGUUAUGCUCAGAUUGUAAGGGAGCCACUAAUUGAACUUCAGGUCUUCCUUAUUGGAAGGAAGACCUGAAGAUGAAUGGCUUCAUGAAAUAAUCGUAAAUGAAUAAUUCCCCCACAUCCGUAAGUCAGCCUACUUCUGUAAACAGAAAAACAAGGUAGUAGUCCCAUAGUCUAUUUUUUAAUCCAGAAAAAGUCAUUCUUGCAGCAAGAAUAAGGGAAACUAUGUCCCAAAAAUACCAGGUUUUCCAGAUAUAGGGAUCAUGUUUGACCAAAACAACCCUUGGCCUAAAAAUACUGCUAUAUUCAAAUAAGAGGAGUUGCUGUUAUUUAAUUUUACUAUACUAUUUAUACUUACAUGGGAUUUUUAUAAUGAUACUACUGUGGUUUUCACAGAUGUUUGGCUUGUAAAAAUGCUAAAGAUUACAAUCUUUAGGUCACCAACUACCUGUAUUUAUGGAGGCUACAGGACAGAGCACAGAACAGCCAGGAAGCCAAAACGCGCUCGAAUUACCUCCAGCACUUACUGCCGCGGGACUCAAACCCGAGUCCUUUCUGGGACUGCUUUUCCUUGAACAUAAAAAUGGGGGUGAUAUCACCUUCCACAGGGAUCUCCUAACUGUACAGAGGGCUUAGCACACUGUCUGGCACUCAGAGGCCUUGCUGGAUCGUGAUCCGCCCCCUCCAGUCAGCGACUGAGACCCCUCACUGGUUCAAGGGCAAACACAGUGCUGAGAGCUGUGUGCCUGGAUCCCGCCAGCAGGUGUGCUGGGGUAGGGAAUGGAAGUCAGGCAUCUUGAUCUCCAUAUGUAUCCACCGAUGGACACCCUGCCUGCCUUUCACUGGGCUCACCCUAAAAUGGUGAACAAAGAAAACAGCUCUCACCUCUGGAGCCAACACGGAGGGGUGGGUAUGAGUGCAGAUGUGGUGGGGGUGCUGGUGGAGGCUUGCUGCCCAUCUGGCUUUUCCUGUUAUUGACAUGCUCAGAUGAAAGUGGGCCCUGUUCACAAACAUGGCAUCCAUUCCUGGGACUCAUCCCGAGCAGAACCUCAAAUAAAAACCAGAACAAACUACACUAAUUUGCUGAACCCCAAAUGGAGCCAAAUUCAAAGCUCUUACGAAACUACAAACAGAACCACAGUUUCAAAAACACCAGGAAAAUAGUCUCAACAAGACAUUACCUACAUGAAGGAUGUCUGAAAUCUAUUUUAGUGUAAAAAUGCUAUAAGUUUACUCUCCUACUUUCUAAAAUUACUGAAUUAGUUAUUAAAAUAACAACCUAAGUAAUCUGACUGUAAAUUGAGCCAUAUUUUAUUUACCCUAAGAUCUCUCAAUCAAAUGGAGAUAUAACAAGGGUUAUCAAUUUCUACUGCAUCUAUUCCUGUAACAUAUUAAAUCUCCAUCUCCUUGAGAGAAGUACAUUGAUUUUUCCACAGGAGAAUUUUUUUCUAGCUCCAAGAACAGCUGAGGGCUGCAAAACUGAGCAGAUGGCCACAUGGAAGAAUCUGCUUGGUUGAUAAGAUAGUUUAAAAGAAAAAUCACCUGACUGCACAUCCCAAAUACCUGUCAAAGUAGGUCAUGAACACUGCUUGAUUGGAACAAACCAAAAUAUUUAAUGGAUCGAAUCUUCCAGAGUUCAUGAUAACUGCCCCACCAAAGGUCUGGGCUUAAGCACUGAUGUUUCCUUUAAUUAUAAAGCCCAGAUUGUAAGGCAAACACAGCCCUGCCAGUGUGUUUGUAGGUCCAGUCAGUGACUGUGCUGCGUCCACAAUGGUCUUUAUCAUUGUCACUUGUUUGACCUGACUAUAACUGAGUAAAGCAUCAUCAUUACAAAAUGCAGCAUGCGGGAUAGUAAUCACCUAAAGAUAUGGUUCAAGCACUUCACCAACCUCUGAACCUGAAUAUGCCUAAUGAAUUUUGUAAACCUUACAAAAAGUGAAGCCAGGUGAUUAUCAGAAAAAAGACAUGUGUCAUACUAAAGAAAGAGCAUGUUCUGGACCUGAGAAAACAGCAGUGCAGAAGGGAAUGUCUUUUCUCCACAGUGAUAUGUGGCCACAGCCUUGAACAGCAAAUUUGCAGAUUAAUGAAGAUAGUAAAAUAGAUCACAUCCUCCUGCCUCCAGGUAUAAUAUUUUAUUCAUAUAAGAGCUAUGUGAGCCUUGAUUUAUAUGAACUUUCAUUAGUAGGCAAAAUUCAAUCAUAAGGUUUCCUCUUUUCACCUCUAGGCGUCCUUAAAUUCAACACACAGUCAAAUGGUGAUUGGCUUCCCCUCUCCCUAGGUAAUACCCCACCCCCCAGCCUCCCAAAAAAGACAGAAAAAGAGGAAAAUGAAAAACAAGCACGUUAGAAAGGUGGCCAGACAAAACGGUUUGCAUCAACAACAUAACUUCUGAUUUGUUCUCCCGCUGGGACAGUCUAAUGCAGCCUCAUUCAGCUGUGCAUUUUCAAUAUUAUUCAACAGAGCCCACUCAGGUCAAAGUAGAGUCUUUUCCUUCACAAGUACAGAGAUACAACACUAGGUUUACGGGAGGGCUAUUUUCAAUCUUCUUGAGCGGUAAUGUGUUUCCAUUAUGGUUCCAUCUAUUUGUGAUCUAUAAUGCUUUCCAAAUAGCCCCAAAUUUCAAAGAAGCUCUAGUUGGUUCCAAAUGGAAAUGAGAUUACAUAUUUAGUAUUAUUUUAUUCUCAAAUGUUAGAUUUAAUUAGGUUGGGAGCAUUCAUUCAUCUGCCCAUUGUGUUUGUUGACUUCAUUAAGGGACAAUCACAGAAUUGCAGGGAAGUCCACGUAGGGCCCCCCAAACUGCGAUUGCUUUUAGCUUUUAUAAACCAUUAAAAUGUAAGUCAAGCACAUAAAUAUAUCUGCUAUGAAAAGAAGUGGUAUUGCUAAGUUCCCUGAUAGAUGAUGACAGGACUUCUCAGAAUUCGAAGGCCAGUGUUUUAAUCUUCAGGUUCUCUCAGGUCACGUGCUUGCCAAUGACAUUGGACCAGGAAUCUCCAGAGGUGAGAAAGCCCCGGCCAACCCCAAAUGCAGCUCUUGCUUGGUGAAAGCAGAGAUGGGGUGAGGACAGGGACACAGGCAGAACCCUGCCGCGCUCCAGCUGAGCUGCUCACUUGCCACUCCCAGAGAAAACAGGAGGAUCGACCUUUCUCUAUGCAACGUCUAAAAUUAAUUUGGUGCUUAAAAUCAGAGGUGGGUCAAGCAGUUGAUUACCUGAGGUUGCCUUUGGACUAACAAAGGCGUCUCUUCAGCAUGGUGAAUUGCUCUGAUGGCCCUGGGCCCGGAGCAGUGAUUUGAGAAAAUCACCCAUGGCAACCAUUAGGCAAUGAGUCUCCAUUGACUGCCAAAAUCUCACUGAAUAUUGAAGGAAAAGAGAAUUUAUAUGUAAUCCAAUUCAGAGCAACAACAACAACAACAUCAACAAUUCAAUGUUCCCCAGUUCUUCAUGGGAAAACUUCAAUCCAGGUCCAAAGAGAGCUGCAAGAACAGCGCAGUUCACACAGAAAGUCUGCAUUCACAGGCUGGGCUGGGGUCGCAACUCUGCGGGCCUCCCCACCCUGCCACGCUUUGUACUGCUGUGUGAUUUUAGCGGAGGCAUUUAGCUCACACAGCCUUAGUUUCCUCAUCUGUAAAAUUGAAUAGCUACCUUCUAGGCUUUGGGAGAAUGCAAUGGAAAAAGAAUCUUGCCUAGGGCAUCAUCAGCUCAGUAAAUAAUAGUUAUUAUCAUGAUGAUUAUCCUCCAGGUAGCUGUGAUGUGUAGAAGCCCAGAACCAAGUAGCACAGGAGACAGAGGUAGUUAAUUCAACCCUCCUCCAAUACAACUGAGUGCCCUAAUUAUCCGAAUAGAAGCUCCACUGCAGGAAAACUCUGUUUUGGAGCUCAAGGAAAGACCUACAAGGGAGAACCACAGAGCUGUAAUUAUCAGCUGAAAGAGGAAGGAAGUUCUAAUCUCACAGAGCCCUUGGAGACUUGUGAACACCCGAAGCUUGGAGAAGGCUUCAACAGGGAACAAACGGUGAAAGCCACACAAAAAUGAACUUAGCAGCAGGAAGGAGUACUCCACGUGCCCCUGCACCUCUCACCAAAGGGAUACAGAUAUGUGAUGGGUGUUUCUGUAAUAUAUGCCUCAUUUUCCAAUGGAAAACCUCCAUAUACACAUGAGUGCAUGGAGAGGUCAUAGUCACUGGUCAAGGAGUUAGAGAUGAGUGGGGAAAAGUGAUAGGGUGAGCAUCCUCAAUCUGGCCCCACCCUAUCUGGCGCCAGACACCUAAUGAACCACCUUUACUGGGGGAGACAGGGUCAAGGAUGAAGCAAUUUCCUCUUCAUAUCUAGCUAUCAUUUAUUCUACAUAGUUGAUGCAGGCAAUAUGCUGGCUGUUUGAAGCAGGUGAUAUUUCUAAUCCACACAAUGGCCUGAAAGGUAAGUAUUAUGGAAUCACUUAUCUGGAUAAAUAAAACAUGAGGUUCAGAGAGAUUACGUAACUGGCCUAGAUCAAUAGGUGGGUAGGCAGACAGGUAGGCAGGUAGAUAGAUAUAGAGAUUGAAAUAUACUUUAAAAACACUCUGUUUGCCCUACAUUCCUUGCUUUAGAUAGGAUUCUGAAUGUGGGGCGGGCAGGAAAGCUGUCAGUCACGAAGGGAGCCUGCCCACCACAAGGCGAGUCAUGUGACCCAGGCCAGAGAAUCAGGUUACCCCACAGGGAACAUCAGUGAUUGGCCCAGGGGUAAGCAGGUAGCUCAUGUAGCACCAGAGUCAUAUUUUUGAAGUUUUUAUGGAAGUUGGAAAGAUCUCUUUUGGAAAUUACCAACUCCAGAGAGGAUGUUAGCCUGGGAGUGCCAGGAACUUUCUGUGUCACUGGGGAAAGCGAGACUUGAUUCUCCGGAUAUCAUUGACCAUCUGGGUCCUGUGGUGCCUGACGCUAUGAGUUCUCAAAGUGGGGCCCCCAAAGCAGCAGCAGCAGCCUCAUGGCCUUGCUGGAAAUGCGAAUUCUCAACCUCAGCUCCCAGACUCACUGCAUUACAAACUCUGGAAGAUGGAGCUGACUCAGUGAGAUCUCUUUCCAAGCUCUCUAGAUGGGCCUGAUGCUUAUUUUGAAAAGCACUGUUCUAGGUCAAUCCAGGGAACUGUUAAACUUCAUGAGCCAAUAGAUACCCCUCUUCUUGCCUAAACUUUGAUUAUAAUAAAAGAAAAAUACAGCAAGAUAGUUUUGAGGGUUUUUUAAUAAAAAUUUACAAUUAUUUUUUAAUCGCAAGUAAACUUAAUUAUUUUACCAUUAAAACCUCUUCAACACAGAAAUUCCUUUGAGGUUUUUAGUUUUGUUCUGUGUUUGUUUGUAUGUGAGGCAAGACACCCCUGGAUGCUUGCAAAGAAGAGGCAAUUUGAAGUGAAACAGGCAGAUGUACAAUCUGAUCCCAUAAGUGACCCACUGCAGAACAGACAGCUGGACAUAUGGACAUAUGCAGCUGCCUGUCAUUUAUACACGAGAGUUAAACAGUUGGCAAAGAGAGUCUGGGCCACAGAGUGGUGAGCUGGCUAGAGGUGCGGAUCUAGCCAUUGGAUAACACUGUACUUAAAACACAAAACUCUAUCCAAGAAGAGGAAAUGAUUGAAUACGAAGUAUUUGAAAAAAGAUUUGAAAGACUGAAAAUGAAACACUUCCUUACAUUCGCUAAGUGAGCUGAGAAAGAAUUGCCCAGAAGGGUGAUACGGAGGGCUAGAGAAUGAAGACGACAGGGAGUGGAAGGAGAGAGCCCACCUACAUGGCACCCAGCUUUGCAGAGGCUCCUGAAGACACAAGGUUGAAGGCCCUGGACUCAAAAAUUUCCUUGACUCUGCCAGGCAAGAGGGUUAGCUGUUUCAGCAGAGGGUAGAGCCAAGCGAAAGCUGGAGAGUGAAUAAGAAAUGCUAGGAGCAAUUGCGUCAGGUGGGGCAACCAGGACUGUGUUUGCCUUCGGACCAGGGCUGCCGAGUACAGAUAGCAGGUGGUUUAUGUGAGGCCUGGAGCAGGGGUCAUUGCAGGAGACGGGGUUGCUGUGUGCCUAUAAAUGGAGUGAAAAAGUGAGUGCAAAGAAAUGGAAAAGUUAGGAGAUGCAGCAUAACCUGUGAAUCAUGAUCCCUGACAAAGUGGGGAGGCUCAUGGGUGCAGGUGUAGGUCUGCAUUGUGUUUUUCUAGGGUCACUCAUCUAUUCAUCCAACAAAUAUUCAACAAGCACCUGUUACAUACCAGAUUAUUACAUACAUGUGGCAGUGCACGUAACUGUGAAGCUGUGUACUACAGCUGCAGGGCGAGGACUGGGGCUUUAGCUCCCACCUUGUGCAAUGUGGGAUCUUCUCCAUCGUCAUAUCAAGCCACCCCACGUGUAUUUAAUGUAAGUUGGAACACUGUGCUUGCUACAAAAGUCAGCUUCAGAAGAAGCCCCUCCGUGGAUCACCACCUCCCUACAAGCUGCAGUCCUAAUCUCCUAUGUCAAAAUCAGGGACUGCUGCUGCCCCGGGGGGUUUAGAGAUGAAGACCCAGACUCUGACUGAGGAGUCUCCCAGUGAAAGGAAGGAGGCAGAAGCCCAGUCACCAGUGACGCCACCCAGCUGAGUGGACCGCGCAGAGGGAGGCGGACGCAGGGCACUCCAACAUGGACCUGAGAGGCACACACUGCAAUGCAAAUCCUCCACGAUAGUCCACAGGAUGUACUGGGAGAAACUGGAAGGCCACAGGAGAAACGUUUGCUCACGAAAACACAGGCAUUUCAUGUGCCUGGAGCACGGGAUGAAGAAUUCCUUAGACUUUGAGUGCCAAGCUAGUGCUUGGACUUUCUUCUAAAGGUCAUGGGUGAGCCCUUGGGGAAUGUGGAGACCACUCCGGCCUGCGAUGGAGAAGGAAAUUGUGCCAGAAGCUGGGAAGUCAAAGUUAACCCUCCAGGCUAGAUCUAGGGAAAGACUUGUCAGCUGUUUCUUCACUUCCAUGACCUUGGAAAAUCCGCUGUCUCCACCAGACACUGAUCCUUGGCACAGCCACUAUUUGAUACACUUAACUCUGCUCAGGAUUUUAGAUCUCAACCCAGGAAAUGAGCUACAGUCUCACCCCAGUGCUUGAAAUAGGUGUGCAAACAAUUCACAUAUUAUAAAUACGUUGACUUGGGCCGGGUGUGGUGGCUCACGCCUGUAAUCCCAGCACUUUAGGAGGCUGAGGCAGGAGGAUUACUUGAGGUCAGGAGUUCCAGACAAGCCUGGCCAACAUUGCAAAACCCUCUCUCUACUAAAGUACAAAAAUUAGCCGGGCAAGGUGGUCCGUGCCUGUAAUCUCAGCUACUCAGGAGGCUGAGGCAGGAGAAUCGCUUAAACCCAGGAGAUGGAAGUUGCAAUGAGGCGAGAUCACAACAACCCACUCCAGCCUGGGCGACAGAGCAAGACCCUGUCUCAAAUAAAUAACUAAAAUGAAAAUAAAUAAAUUGAUUUGUUUUCAUUCAUAUAUUUUGGGGAUACAAUGGAGCUUAAAGUUUGAAAACCAAAACGGAGCUGGCCACCAAAGGUGUGGAUUUGGUCAACAGGGUGUGGACUCCAGCAGCCCGUGUCACUCUCAGACUCCAUGUCUCAAUUUGAAUGUUUCCAUGUCACUUAAAAAGUAGAAUAUUCAUAGUGAUGUUGAAGAUACAAAAGAUAUACCAGGAUUAAUUUUCUAGUCAAUUUUAUGUGUCUGUGACCCAAGACAAUAAAAGUUAAGUCAUCGUUAGUUCCUUAGUUGCUGGACACUUUAGCCCAAUAUACCACCUUCAAUUUUGAAUUAUUAUUUGGACUGUGUUCAUGAGAUUCUUGGAGUAUGUUAAAUCAACACAUUUCUUUGUAAUUAUUGAGAACCUUUUGUUCCCUAUAAAAUCAAGUGUACGAUGAUGUAAACUAUAAAACGCAAAUUGUAGGGACAAUUGGUAAUCUGCAGUGAAAAUAAAGUCAAAAUAGCAAAGAGCAGAUUAUUCUCAAAUUUAUGUAACAGAGUUCUUACAUGUGGAAGUGGAUACAAGUAUUAGCACAUUCAGUUGAUGUACUGAAAAUAAAAUGAAACUAUUUUUCUACUUACUACUUGCUUGUGAAAUCCAAAGGGGUGAAUAAGAGCCAGGAUUCAUUGUCAUGAGUGUAGGGGUGCCCUGGGAAGGAGGCCUCCAUCCCACGUGUCAGUGGCGUCAUCAGAAAUUCCAUGAUCGUCGGCUUAUUCUUUGCACACGUGUCUACAGGGUCCCUCCGCACACCGACUUGGUGUCCUCCAGGAUGCAGAAAACCCAAAUUAAACUAGUUUAAUGAAUAAGGAAACUAAGUGGCUCUUAGGACCAUAAGCCCUGCGGUGACGCCUGCUUCAGGGCUGGAGGAGCUAAGUGUUCUCUGGUUCACCAAAGCCCCCAGUUCUUUCCGUCUGUCACUCAUAGCUUCGGCUUCGUCCCCGGCUCACUGCCAGUGGUAAUCAGGCUGCCCAAGAACUUCUGAAAUCCACAGCCCGGUGUUUCCAAACGAAUUAUCAGUAGGGUUGGAAUCCCUUCUCCCCAGCCCCAGCCCCAGCAAGGCCCUCCAACGCCACUGCAGUUCCCUGGAUAGCAGGAAGAGGCCUGAGCCGGCUCUCCCGGAGCUCCAGGUGCAGAGUCUCCCCACAUGGGAGUCAGUGUUCUCAGAGCAGCAUUUGUUGACCUGAGCUAACCAAGUUCUCUAACUGAAAGCCUGGCUGUGUAAAGCCACAGAUGUCUGGCAUUAGAAUAGCUCAAGGACAGGAGAAAAAACUGACAAUCAGUCCAGAACGGCAUCCCAGGACUUCUGCUCUGAGGAGAAAACAGGACUAAACCCCAGCUGAGGUCUAUUUCCAACUCCAAGAUUCUGCAAUGUUAUCUCUGUUUAAAAAGAUAUCCCACUUUUUGAUGACAGUGUGUCUGGAAUUGGUGGGUUCUUGGUCUCACUGACUUCAAGAAUGCAGCUGCGGACCCUGGCGGUGAGUGUUACAGCUCUUAAAGGCGGCAUGUCCGGAGUUUGUUCCUUCUAGGUGGGUUCCUGGUCUCUCUGGCUCAGGAGUGAAGCUGCAGACCUUAGCGGUAAGCUGUUACAGCUCUUAAGUCAGCGCGUCUGGAGUCGUUCGCUCCUCCCGGUGGGUUCGUGGUCUCGCUAGCCUCAGGAGUGCAGCUGCAGACCUUCGUGGUGACUGCUACAGCUCAUAAAAGCAGUGUGGACCCAAAGACUGAGCAGUAGCAAGAUUUAUUGCAAAAGACGAAUGAACAAAGCUUCCACACGACAGACACAAACCCUAACAGAUUGCCACCGCUAGCUCGGAGAGCCUGCUUUUCUUCCCUUAUCUGGCUCCACCCACAUCCUGCUGAUUGGCCCAUUUUACAGAGAGCUGAUUGGUCUGUUUUACAGAGAGCUGAUUGGUCUGUUUUGACAGGGUGCUGAUUGGUGCGUUUACAAUCCUGAGCUAGACACAAAGGUUCUCCAAGUCCCCACCAGAUUAGCUAGACACAGGGUGCUGAUUGGUGCAUUUACAAACCUUGAGCUAGAUACAGAGUGCUGAUUGGUGUAUUCACAAUCCCUUAGCUAGACAUAAAUGUUCUCCAAGUCCCCACCAGAUCAGCUAGACACAGAGUGCUGAUUGGUGCAUUUACAAACCUUGAGCUAGAUACAGAGUGCUGAUUGGUGUAUUUACAAUCCCUUAGCUAGACAUAAAGAUUCUCCAAGUCCCCACCAGACUCA